This 697-nucleotide non-coding RNA is filed under the name Oscheius chongmingensis. The record is from RNAcentral. Lineage: Eukaryota; Metazoa; Nematoda; Chromadorea; Rhabditida; Rhabditidae.
UGAAGUUUUCUUCCAGAGUUUAAAAAUUUGAUCAUGGUUUAUAAUGAUUUAAAAUGGUAUUAUCUAGGUUUGAUUUACUGAAUAGGCAAUAAAAAUUUACCUUGGCAAAUUAUCGCUUGUAUAACACUUGUUCCAGAAUAAUCGGCUAGACUUGUUGAAGCUUGUACUUUAAUUGUUGUUAAUUAUAAGUUUAAUAAAUAUACUUUAAAGGUUUUAGGUAGAAUUAGAACUUGUAUAAAUAAAAUCUUAUAAUUUUAAAUUUUGUUGAACGAAUUAGAUUAGUACCUAAUUAGACAAAAAUUAAAAGAGCAGGAGUAAAGUUGUAUUUAAACUGAAAGGAUAUUGGCAGGCUUUCUAAAUUAUCUUUGGAGGUUGAGUAAUAAUUGAGAACCCUCAUUAACUACUUAAUUUUUUGACUCAUGUAUGAUCGUUUAUUUUAUUCUUAAGGAUUAUAAAUAAAAAUUUUUAAUUUAAUAAAAUAGAUAUAUACCUGGUUUAUGAUAAAAGUAAUAUUUGACCUACAAUAUUUUAUAAUGUGAAUAUUAAUUGUAGUAAUUAAUUGAAAAUGUAAAAGACAGUAAAGAAAUUUUAAUGUUUUCUUGAAGAGUAUCUAGAAGCGGUACAAAUCAUCCAUCAAUUGCCCAAAGGGGAGUAAGUUGUAGUAAAGUAGAUUUAGGGGAACCUUAAUCUAGUAAAU